AUACGUAGGGUGCAAGCGUUAAUCGGAAUUACUGGGCGUAAAGCGUGCGCAGGCGGUUUUGUAAGACAGUGGUGAAAUCCCCGGGCUCAACCUGGGAACUGCCAUUGUGACUGCAAGGCUGGAGUGCGGCAGAGGGGGAUGGAAUUCCGCGUGUAGCAGUGAAAUGCGUAGAUAUGCGGAGGAACACCGAUGGCGAAGGCAAUCCCCUGGGCCUGCACUGACGCUCAUGCACGAAAGCGUGGGGAGCAAACAGGAUUAGAUACCCUGGUAGUCCACGCCCUAAACGGUGUCAACUGGUUGUUGGGUCUUCAUUGACUCAGUAACGAAGCUAACGCGUGAAGUUGACCGCCUGGGGAGUACGGCCGCAAGGUUGAAACUCAAAUGAAUUGACGGGG
This 395-nucleotide ribosomal RNA is filed under the name uncultured bacterium. RNAcentral describes it as "partial 16S ribosomal RNA". It matches the Rfam family "Bacterial small subunit ribosomal RNA", at positions 523 to 918 of the family's 1533-position model. The record is from RNAcentral.